Dermacentor albipictus is the source of this 371-nucleotide long non-coding RNA. RefSeq lists it as uncharacterized. NCBI's taxonomy places the organism in Eukaryota, Metazoa, Arthropoda, Arachnida, Ixodida, Ixodidae. The record is from RefSeq and is a predicted model, not a curated record.
GGCGCCGCUCGUGGCGCCGCGAAACGGCCCUUCAGGGAACGAAGGCGCGGAUCCCGUCAGACGGUCAGAACCUUGUCACACGCUCUCUGUUGUGUCUGUUUGUGUAAGGAAGACUUUGUAAAGAUGGAAAGGCAAGAAGAGCCCGAGGAACUUCGUGAGAUGGACGCCGAAGAAAGAGAAUUGGCAGAAUGCGAAAUGUUUCUGCGACUCCUUGCCUUGGUGCUCUGGAGAAACGGUCGAUGGCGAGCGGCCUUCGAUUUGUUGGCCAUCCUAAACCGGUACAACUAGUCGGUCGUUCCUGGGCCAGAAGAACUUGUCGGUCGCGUGACCGCAAAUUUUUUUGUUCGAUGCAAUAAACGGUGUUCUUCUAA